Molecule: transfer RNA, 69 nt
Filed under: Ventrifossa garmani (Sagami grenadier)
Lineage: Eukaryota; Metazoa; Chordata; Actinopteri; Gadiformes; Macrouridae
Description: tRNA-Ile
Rfam family: tRNA
About the family: Transfer RNA (tRNA) molecules are approximately 80 nucleotides in length.
Source: RNAcentral
GGAAUUGUGCCUGAAUAAAGGGCCACUUUGAUAGAGUGACUCAUGAGGGUUAGAAUCCCUUCAACUCCU